RNAcentral lists this ribosomal RNA (325 nucleotides) under uncultured eukaryote. RNAcentral describes it as "partial 18S ribosomal RNA". It matches the Rfam family "Eukaryotic small subunit ribosomal RNA", at positions 1470 to 1796 of the family's 1831-position model. The record is from RNAcentral.
CCCUUAGAUGUCCUGGGCCGCACGCGCGCUACACUGAUGCAUUCAACGAGUUUUACCUUGGCCGAGAGGCCUGGGCAAUCUUUUAAACCUGCAUCGUGAUAGGGAUAGAUUAUUGCAAUUUUUAAUCUUGAACGAGGAAUUCCUAGUAAACGCAAAUCAUCAAUUUGCAUUGAUUACGUCCCUGCCCUUUGUACACACCGCCCGUCGCACCUACCGAUUGAAUGGUCCGGUGAAGCCUCGGGAUUGUGGCCAGUUCACUUUAUUGGGAGUUGGCUGUGAGAACUUGUCUAAACCUUAUCAUUUAGAGGAAGGUGUAGUCGUAACA